CUGGACUUAAAUGCUUCUGGGCAGAAAUCCAGGACAAUAAGGAGGCUCAUAUUGUCAACUUUUCUACUCUCAUCGUUCCUGUUACACAAUGUCUGAAAGAAAACAUUUCAAACAUUACAUCAAGUUCUUCAUUUGUUUCUUCUAUAAGCUGAGACCAUCCUUGAAAUAGACUCACUUUGGUGUAAUCAAAAUCCCCAGAAUUCAAAUUCUACAGAUUUAAAUUUGGAAAUUUUUCCAGUCAUCACAGACUUUCCAAGACAAAACAGCAGGGAAAAAAACAAACAAUCUAGAGACCGACACCCCUGAAUUCCAUCUCCAUGUCUGAGCUCUCUCUCCAAAGAUCAAUGUCCCUUUUAAUCAAGUCAGCCAACUUUCAUUCUUGUUGUCUUGCUGGGCAUUUAUUAAUAGUGAGAGGUAGCGAAUGACUUUACAACUUCCCUUAUUAUCAGUGCUAGGAGAGUCCUUUAUAUAGCACAGAAAGGCUCAAGUAUACCACUAU
Long non-coding RNA from Gorilla gorilla gorilla (western lowland gorilla), 499 nucleotides. RefSeq lists it as uncharacterized. The record is from RefSeq and is a predicted model, not a curated record. The transcript has 3 exons. NCBI's taxonomy places the organism in Eukaryota, Metazoa, Chordata, Mammalia, Primates, Hominidae.